Non-coding RNA from Acanthosepion pharaonis, 108 nucleotides. The record is from the annotation of a GenBank genome assembly. NCBI's taxonomy places the organism in Eukaryota, Metazoa, Mollusca, Cephalopoda, Sepiida, Sepiidae.
ACGACCAACUCACGUUGAAACACCGUUUUCCGUACGAUCACCCAAGUUAAGCAACGUCGGGCCUGGUCAGUACCUAGAUGAGUGAGCGUUUAAGACCAGGUGCUGUAC